GAUGAACGCUGGCGGCGGGCUUAACACAUGCAAGCCGAACGGAAAGGCCCUGUCUUUGUCUUGUGCGCGAGUCGCGAACGCGUGACUCACACGCGACCAACCUGUACCUGACUGUGGGAUUACUUCAGGGAACUGUGGUUACUACUAGAUAAGUGGUCCUCCUGCUCUGGGGGUGUUGGCUCCGUUCGGCGGUUGGGGAUAGACUCGCGGCUGAACAGUUUGUUGGUGGGGUAGUCGCUUACCAAGGCGUCGACGGGUAGCCGGCCUGAGAGAGCGACCGGCCAAAUGGGGACUGAGAUACGGCACGGACUCCUACGGGAGGUAGGAGUGGGGAAGAUUGCACGAUGGGCGGAAGCCUGAUGCAGGAACGCCGCGUGCGGGAUUACGGACUUCUGGUGGUAAGCCGCAUUCGCAGGUGACGAAGCGUGGGUGAAGGUAAUGGGUAAAGAAGCACCGGCUAACUACGUG
Molecule: ribosomal RNA, 468 nt
Filed under: uncultured bacterium
Lineage: Bacteria
Description: partial 16S ribosomal RNA
Rfam family: Bacterial small subunit ribosomal RNA
Source: RNAcentral